GGGCACUGUCUUCAAUUGAAAC
RNAcentral lists this microRNA (22 nucleotides) under Capitella teleta. RNAcentral describes it as "Cte-Mir-1996_3p* (star (passenger))". Lineage: Eukaryota; Metazoa; Annelida; Polychaeta; Capitellidae. The record is from RNAcentral.